AUGGGGGAGCUGGGAUUGGGCGU
Molecule: microRNA, 23 nt
Filed under: Mus musculus (house mouse)
Lineage: Eukaryota; Metazoa; Chordata; Mammalia; Rodentia; Muridae
Description: mmu-miR-7023-5p
Source: miRBase by way of RNAcentral